UUCUCUCUCUCUCAACCCACUCGUGGCGGAGGCAGCAGGGGCAGGGCCCGCACUACCGUCCCAGAAGAGGGCUAGCGCGCCCGCACCGCCAUCGCAGAAGACUCCUUUUCCCCUUUUCCAUCCUUCUCCCUCUUUUCUCCGCCCGUUUCACUCGCCGUGGCCGAUGGACGCACCACCGGAGACCACGGCCACUCCGAAAACGGCGGCGAUGAGAAGGCUCAGCCCUUAGCGCAGACCCGCGAGGCGGCACGGCGAUGGCAGCAACAUUUUUCUCCAACCCGUUUCCGUUUGAGGCUACGACAGAUGUUUCUUGGUUUCCUCAGACGUCUGCGGGGUAGACCAUGCUGCCCGCCGUGAGGGGAGACGCCGCCCCAGGCACGAGCACCCCGCCGCCGAGAAGCUCGUCCAUGGCCAUGGGCCUGUCACCAUCAGAAAGUGCAAGAAGAAAGCUCCGAGGAAGAUCCACAAAGCCGAUAGGGAGAAACAUGAGCCCGACCUGCUCAAUGAUCUCUUCAGUGAACUUGGCAAAAUAGGUGCUUUUAGUAUUCCACUCUCAGUCAUACACCAUGCCUGGUACUACGGGUCCUGCUACAAAAACUGAGGCUUCAUCAGUGAAAAAAUGCAGGUGCUUCAACUUUCACAGGUCUUCCUAAUUAUCUCUGUUCGAAACCGUCAGUUGCAAAUUCAGUUUCACUGAAUUCAAGCUUCAAGCAUCUGAGAGCAAGGCUGACAACUGCUGAGCAAGAUGAUCCUGAUAAAACAAGGGCAUCAGACUAAAUAGUUUCUUUUAUUGUUCUGCAGAUCUUCCCCGUGAGGCGCUACAGAUCAGAUGGGUGCUGUCGUGAAGGCCGUGAAGGCGUGGCCGGCGGCAUGGGUUAGCCUGUGGGUGGUACCACCGUGCUGCUCUGGACGUGCAUUGUGGUGCUGCUCGUGGCGGCUUUCGGAGGGAGACAGAGUGCAGGACAUAGAGAAUUUGGGGGCUACUCGGGUUUGGAUCAGCAAGCCAUGUCUGUUUCGUUUGGCAAAGGCCUUUUAUCCUUUUUCUAUAAUGCCAUGAACGUCUCUGAAUUUUUACACUGCUUCCAGCCGAUGCUUAAUAUUUUUUCCAACAUAUUUGUGACUGGAGCCCACACAUACAUAGUCAUGGAUCUGAUUUUGUGUUUUGGAUCUUGCUAUUUCACUGAUUUGGAACAUGUAUAUGCAGUUCUAGGCUUCUAGCUAGAUGGAUUAAUAGAUAUGUUGGACCUAUGCAUUUUAUAUUACCCGCAUGGAUCUAUGUUUGUUA
This is a long non-coding RNA of Triticum urartu, 1285 nucleotides long. RefSeq lists it as uncharacterized. The record is from RefSeq and is a predicted model, not a curated record. Lineage: Eukaryota; Viridiplantae; Streptophyta; Magnoliopsida; Poales; Poaceae.